UACGUAGGGGGCAAGCGUUGUCCGGAUUCAUUGGGCGUAAAGAGCUCGUAGGCGGUCUGUCGCGUCGAUCGUGAAAACUUGGGGCUUAACCCUGAGCUUGCGGUCGAUACGGGCAGACUAGAAUUCGGUAGGGGAGACUGGAAUUCCUGGUGUAGCGGUGAAAUGCGCAGAUAUCAGGAGGAACACCGGUGGCGAAGGCGGGGUCUCUGGGGCCGAUAUUGACGCUGAGGAGCGAAAAGCGUGGGGAGCAAACAGG
Molecule: ribosomal RNA, 256 nt
Filed under: uncultured bacterium
Lineage: Bacteria
Description: partial 16S ribosomal RNA
Rfam family: Bacterial small subunit ribosomal RNA
Source: RNAcentral